AGUAACAUCCGGAAACGGGUGGCUAAUACCGCAUAGUUUUCUUUGAUCGCAUGAUCGGGAAAGAAAAGAACGGCCUUUGUGCUGUCGCUUAUGGAUGGACCCGCGGCGUAUUAGUAGUUGGUGAGGUAACGGCUCACCAAGACGAUGAUACGUAGCCGACCUGAGAGGGUGAUCGGCCACAUUGGGACUGAGACACGGCCCAAACUCCUACGGGAGGCAGCAGUAGGGAAUCUUCCGCAAUGGACGAAAGUCUGACGGAGCAACGCCGCGUGAGUGAAGAAAAGGUUUUUCGGAUCGUAAAACUCUGUUGUCAGAGAAGAACAAGUUGGAGAGUAACUGCUCCAGCCUUGACGGUAUCUGACCAGAAAGCCACGGCUAACUACGUGCCAGCAGCCGC
Molecule: ribosomal RNA, 397 nt
Filed under: uncultured bacterium
Lineage: Bacteria
Description: bacterial SSU rRNA
Rfam family: Bacterial small subunit ribosomal RNA
Source: RNAcentral